UACGGAGGGAGCUAGCGUUAUUCGGAAUUACUGGGCGUAAAGCGCACGUAGGCGGCUUUGUAAGUAAGAGGUGAAAGCCCAGAGCUCAACUCUGGAAUUGCCUUUUAGACUGCAUCGCUUGAAUCAUGGAGAGGUCAGUGGAAUUCCGAGUGUAGAGGUGAAAUUCGUAGAUAUUGGAAGAACACCAGUGGCGAAGGCGGCUGACUGGACAUGUAUUGACGCUGAGGUGCGAAAGCGUGGGGAGCAAACAGG
This 252-nucleotide ribosomal RNA is filed under the name uncultured bacterium. RNAcentral describes it as "partial 16S ribosomal RNA". It matches the Rfam family "Bacterial small subunit ribosomal RNA", at positions 524 to 776 of the family's 1533-position model. The record is from RNAcentral.